CUCCCUGGAUCCUCGAGAUCCCUGAAGGGCCCUCGAAGACUACGAGGUUGAUAGGCCGGGUGUGGAAGCGCAGUAAUGCGUGAAGCUAACCGGUACUAAUUGCCCGUGAGGCUUGACCAU
RNAcentral lists this ribosomal RNA (120 nucleotides) under Thiotrichales bacterium. RNAcentral describes it as "partial 23S ribosomal RNA". It matches the Rfam family "Bacterial large subunit ribosomal RNA", at positions 2811 to 2925 of the family's 2925-position model. The record is from RNAcentral. Lineage: Bacteria; Pseudomonadati; Pseudomonadota; Gammaproteobacteria; Thiotrichales.